RNAcentral lists this ribosomal RNA (301 nucleotides) under uncultured bacterium. Its description in RNAcentral is "partial 16S ribosomal RNA". It matches the Rfam family "Bacterial small subunit ribosomal RNA", at positions 509 to 807 of the family's 1533-position model. The record is from RNAcentral.
CAGUAGCCACGGUAAUACGGAGGGGGCUAGCGUUGUUCGGAAUUACUGGGCGUAAAGCGCACGUAGGCGGCUUGGUAAGUUAGAGGUGAAAGCCCGGAGCUCAACUCCGGAAUUGCCUUUAAGACUGCCGAGCUAGCAGGUGAGAGAGGUAAGUGGAAUUCCGAGUGUAGAGGUGAAAUUCGUAGAUAUUCGGAAGAACACCAGUGGCGAAGGCGGCUUACUGGCUCAUACUGGACGCUGAGGUGCGAAAGCGUGGGGAGCAAACAGGAUUAGAUACCCGUGUAGUCCCUGUCUCUUAUAC